This is a long non-coding RNA of Hemicordylus capensis (graceful crag lizard), 1141 nucleotides long. RefSeq lists it as uncharacterized. The record is from RefSeq and is a predicted model, not a curated record. The transcript has 5 exons. Lineage: Eukaryota; Metazoa; Chordata; Lepidosauria; Squamata; Cordylidae.
UAUGGAGAUGUCCUGUAGAGAAGGAAAAUUUUGUAAGAACAUUCAUAAUGAUGUCCCCAAGAUGCCCCUGCUGUGGAAACGCUACCUCUUCAUCUCAUUAUCGUUUGGUGCCACAAUCGUAUCAUGAUGAGCUCAGAGAAAUGAACAAGAACCAGGUGCCAGUGACACAGUGGGAAAUCCACUCAAGAAGACUUUGACAACUAACAAUGGAAGCCUACCUACACGGAAGCUGACUGGUGGCAUUUAUAGUGAGAAAAAUGUAUUAAAGUUUAAAGAUGUCAUGUAUGUUAACUGAUCGGUGUUGGUCAAAGGAACUAUGACCGGAGUCAUAUCUGGCUCAACAUAGACAUAAUGCCAAUAUUGACAAAAACCACUUGGGCCCCAAGUACCUUAAGGCCCACCUGAUCCCAGCUACAUCUACAUACCUAUAUUAGAAGGAAGAGUCUUGUUCCAUAUUCUGAUGCCUGCUGAAACUCGUUUUGUCAAGGAUGCAGAACAGGGCCUUUUUGGUUACUGCUCCACAGGCUGUGGAACUCACUAAAAGAUGAACUCCAUUUAGCUCCCUCACUCCCAGUCUUUCAGAGGCAACUGAUGAUGACUGCUUUUUCAUUUACACCUUUGGCCAUUUGGAAAGGACAAUAGAGCAAGGGGAAAGGAAAGAAACACCAUUCUGAAAUGUCUACUCAGCAAAGAAUAAGCUGACAAAGUCACCUCCAUCCUACAGGAGAACACUACAGCUGUUCAUUGUAGAUGAAGAGGAGCCUUCAGAUAUGCAGAACUUUACAAAAUCUUCUGAAACGGGACCCUCCUUGGAUCAUCAUUCUACCAGCAUCUGGAGACAUCUACCCUUUGCCUUCAUUAAAAGCAGUAACAGCAUGCCCCUUUCCAGAAUUUCCAGAAUAGAUGGGCAUACAGUUAUGAUAUCUGGCACACAUGAAGUCCACAUUGGCAGGAAUAUGUGUGUGCUUUUCUCUCUUUCUCUUUUUGCUUUUUUAAAAUAAAGCUAUUGGUAUUUUUGGUGGCUAAAAAUUGUGAAAUCUGGUUUGCUUCAAGCCAGAACCUUACAAAACAUUCUGGAUCUGAAACCCUCCCUAGGACCAUCAUUCCACCCCCAUGUGCAUGAAAACUAUCAUUCCUUUGA